Ictalurus furcatus (blue catfish) is the source of this 1329-nucleotide RNA transcript. It is a transcript of the gene named neuropeptide Y, with no coding region annotated. The record is from RefSeq and is a predicted model, not a curated record. The transcript has 4 exons. Lineage: Eukaryota; Metazoa; Chordata; Actinopteri; Siluriformes; Ictaluridae.
AUAUUUAUAUUUAUGUAUGCUGUACAGGGUUCCCGACGCAAAUGGUUUUAAACGAGCCUUUUUUUCCUGCAUUCAGAGUAGCUAUAAGAGUAUAAUCGGAUCUGCGUCAAAGCUUAUUCUUUCAUGCGCUGCUUCAAAUACAAGCUAGCUUGUUAUUUAGUCUAUCUGACUACAUAAAAGCUUUGCAAAAAGUCUAAUCCAAGUAGUAACCAUUUCUAGAAGCUCGUCACACCGACGUAAACGACAAGUGACGUGUGCGCGCGCGUACUGAUGGAGCGCGUUCUCGUCACCGCACGAUCCGCGCUAUACUAUAUAAACCCAGCACAUACCAUCAGCCCCCACGAGGCACGACUCCCAGCUUCACAGUGUUCAACUCUACACCCAGGAGCUGAAGAAGGGGAGAAGACAACCAGAACAUCAACUAACUAUGCGUCCUUGUGCAAACGUGUGUGUCGGCUGGGCCGCGUGCAUUUUGCUUGUUGUGUGUUUGGGCGUGCUGGCUGAAGGAUAUCCAACAAAGCCGGAGAACCCAGGAGAGGACGCACCUGUUGAGGAACUAGCCAAGUAUUACUCCGCAUUGAGACAUUACAUCAACCUCAUAACGAGGCAGAGGUAUGGCAAAAGGUCCAACACUGAUGUAUUAACCCCAGACCUGCUGUUUGGAGAGGCAGAGAUACGACUGCAGUCCAGGUAAAAUGUAGAAACCGACUCCUGACCUGGUGACAUACUACUUAUGGAUUCACAAAUAAUAUAUGAUGACCCUUUGAUGUGGUGAUGUCAGUGUAGACAAAUAUGUCUAUGCUUGUUCAGUCAACAUUUCCAUCACUCUUAGAGGCAAUAACUUAUGACAUCAAAAAUGGCUACUUCCACCACUCCAUUGCAUUGAACUUUUUUGUUCUCAUAUGUGGUAAAUCUCUAGCAAGCACAAGGAUACACCAAACUUGUUAGUUAAAGAGUUUGUAACAGUGUUAGGUCUGUUUAGAACAUAACUGCAUGGUUUCAUCUACUGCUCAUGAGAUCAUAAAACAUCAUUGAUUUGCAUGUAAUCCCCAGCAUCCCCUAUGUAUAUAUACAGUAGAUAUAUAGACUUCCUGUAUUUAUGUUUGUUGUCUGCACUGUAGCACUAAUAAAGAAAAAACAUUACUGACUGGUGUGGUAUAAUUGUGAUAUUAAACCACUACAUUUCGAAGAGGUGACUGAUUUUUUUAAAAAAUGUUUUAUACACACUGAAUUAUUGGACAUAGCACAUGAGAGUUCACUUAAUGUCUCUAAUUAUUUCAGAGUAAGCAGCUAAAGUCACCUUGAUUAUUCUGUUAUUAUUCUAAUGGC